RNAcentral lists this long non-coding RNA (1190 nucleotides) under Gossypium barbadense (sea-island cotton). Its description in RNAcentral is "long non-coding RNA (GBAR_LNC002858)". Lineage: Eukaryota; Viridiplantae; Streptophyta; Magnoliopsida; Malvales; Malvaceae. The record is from RNAcentral.
GGUAUUGUAAUGGGCCAAUUUAGCCCGAGCUCGUACAAACACAAAACCCAAAAAGAAAAAUUAUUAUAAUAAAAAUAUUAUAACAGUCCAGUUUUAAACAGUCCGAAACCCAAAAUCAUUACAAUGGCGCAUAGCCCAAACCUACUACAAGCCCAAACCUAGACCCAAAGGUUCAAGGCCCAAACGGCCCAAAACAUGUUAGAAACAAAAAAAAAACCCAAGGUUUCUGCUUCUUGCACCUUAGCCAGGCCCCAACCCGCAGUGCCGUACGGCCUCCUGGCACCACAGCCACGCCCACACCUCUAUACACCAGCACACAGCCCUUGUACGCCAACGCACACCCUGUACCUGCGAGCAAAUACAAAAAAACCACAGCAGCAAAUACGAACAAAAAAUGUAUUUUAUUUUGAUUUUUUUUGGGAUUUCGACUAUAAAGCCAAAAGAAAUGUAUUGUUCUUUUUUUUACACACAAUAUACACAUAUUGGAAUACAAAAAAAAAUCAAGAAAUCGAAAGGUGAUUUCCAGAUUCGGUUCCUCUUUCUCUGAUUGUUCUCCUCUUUCCUUUUUUUUCUUUCUUUGGUUUUACACACCGUGUAUUUUAGGCAUAAAAAAGGAAAAGAAAGGAAGGGAUUUACCUAGUAGACGAAGCCCGUCUUCUUCGUCGCAAUUGAAGUAAGGACGGGGUUUCGAAAUCGAAGCAGAUAACCCUCGAUGAUUCUCCAUGGCACCCCUGCGCAUUGCGAAUCGCGCUCAAAUUGAUGCAAAAGCAUGCAACUGAAAAAUGGGGGGAAGGGGGCUGAUUAGAUCGGCCGAUUGGGGUGGAGAAAGUUAAAAAAAUAUUAUGUUUUUCAUUUCAUCAGUUUUAGGGUUUCUCUCCCUUUAUAAACGAGAUAAAACGACACCGUUUGGAGCCAGUUCCUAUAGCCAUAAAACGGUGUCGCAUGAGUGACACGGACCCGGUGACCCAACCCUGACGCGUCCAGAUCCACACGUCUUGGGCCUGUGAGGGUUAAUUGUGUGAUAAGCCCUUCCCCUUUUGCGAUGCGUUCCAAUCAGCUUAUAUUUGUAUUUCUUUUGCUUUUUUUUAAUUUUCCCUGUAAUUUGCACAUGUUUGCACUUUGGUCUGUGUCUCAGGCUACGUUUUGGGGUCUAUAUUAUUUCCAAAUUUGGUCCCUGCGCAUUCGCGCAU